AACAAGAUCAUUGGGCUGUCCCCUAAUUGUGGUCAGCUACAUGUUUAGUCUCUUAUGUGCUAAACAUUAUGUAGCCUAAGGAAGCAGCCCUGACUCUGGAGUUUAUAUGAAGGAGCAUGCUGAGUAACUAUCCAGAAAGUAGGUCCAAAGCAGAAAAAAGGGCACCAAGCAGAAACAUACCAUCUAAACUCCUUCGAUUCCUGUCAGACCAGAAAGACUUUCAGAAUCCUUGGAAGAUUUAAAGCCAUUGAAGUAUCAGUAUUGGAGAGGAAGAAGACCCAGUUGUAUCGUCUGUUUCCUGCCAUCUUGCAGUUAACCUGGUUUCUUAAUGUAAAGUACUUGUAAUUUGCCCACUUGUCCUCAAUUAUCUUAAAGCUAACAUUUAAAACUAAUUUGCUAUGAGAUUAUUUGCCAAGACUUCUCACGGUGCGAUUCACAUGUCAAUAUGUAUUAUUGUGUGUAUAACUAGCUAUUUGGAAUUCAAAUGAUUUGC
This is a non-coding RNA of Danio rerio (zebrafish), 493 nucleotides long. NCBI's taxonomy places the organism in Eukaryota, Metazoa, Chordata, Actinopteri, Cypriniformes, Danionidae. The record is from RefSeq and is a predicted model, not a curated record.